Molecule: unclassified non-coding RNA, 299 nt
Organism: Erinaceus europaeus (western European hedgehog)
Lineage: Eukaryota; Metazoa; Chordata; Mammalia; Eulipotyphla; Erinaceidae
Gene: 7SK
Rfam family: 7SK RNA
About the family: 7SK was discovered as an abundant small nuclear RNA in the mid-70s but a possible function has only recently been suggested. Two independent studies have found that 7SK RNA binds the CDK9/cyclin T complex (known as elongation factor P-TEFb).
Source: Ensembl
GGAUGAGAGGGUGAUCUGGCUGUGGUAUCUGUCACCUGAGGCCAGCUGAUCUGGUUAACUAGGUGGGUGUCCCCUUCCUCCCUCACUGCUCAGUGUUUGUCCCUCCAGAAGCUAUGUGCUCAAAGACGACAACCUUCCCUAAAUAGGAGUGAGCUGGUCUCAGUUGAGGGUAUAUAAGUAGUUGUGCUCCCCUGCUAGAACGUCCAAACAAGCUCUCAAAAGAUAGCCAUGUGUGAGGCUCCAUGGUUCUAAAUUCAAUCCCUAGUAUCACCAUAAAUCAGAGAGGAAGAGAGAAAGAU